CAUCACCUAGGGAUCUUGUUAAAAUGCAUAUUCUGGGGUUGGGCCUGAGACUCUUUCAUUUCUAACAAGCUCCCAUGUGACUCUGAUCCUUCU
RNAcentral lists this microRNA precursor (93 nucleotides) under Dasypus novemcinctus (nine-banded armadillo). RNAcentral describes it as "miRNA (ENSDNOG00000043051.1)". The record is from RNAcentral. Lineage: Eukaryota; Metazoa; Chordata; Mammalia; Cingulata; Dasypodidae.